Camelina sativa (false flax) is the source of this 451-nucleotide non-coding RNA. Lineage: Eukaryota; Viridiplantae; Streptophyta; Magnoliopsida; Brassicales; Brassicaceae. The record is from RefSeq and is a predicted model, not a curated record.
AAAAAUUGAUUGAAAAGGAACGAUCUUUUUGCAUAUGCCUUGAAUUAGAUGUUGAUGAUUAAAUCAUGGUUCAUGACUUCAGUUAUCUUGAUGCGAUUAUUUCUGGGAAAGUAAAGCAAGCACCGUUACAGAAGAUUUUCACAGUAGGGAUGUUUGAUCAGAGGCUUGUAGUUGUAGGAGCCACCAAUCAGCCAAAACCAGCUCAGUGGCAUAGAAUUGCAGUGCACAAGAGUGGUCUAGAGCAUCUUAUUGUAGAAUGGUGGUCUGUGAUUUUACAAGACAGUAGACCUGCAAUUUCUGCAUUUUUUGUUCAAUUGGUGCUGGGACAGUCUAUGACAAGAGGCAACCAAGUUCUGUGCCAGUUAAGACAAACCAUUGAUGAAUUGGAAAUGAUGCAUACAUGAGAAUAUUGUACACUUUCUCGUUGAAUUAAAUAUGAUGCAUUACGACA